GGAGGCUAGGAAUGGGUCUGGGAGCCAAGGCUGAGAAUCGAUGCUGAUACCCCAGGAAGUGAGGGUGUGGACUGAGACCCAUGUCUUGGACAUGAUUGCAUCGUCUAGUGAAGGAGUCAGUGAGACUGAGAAAAGGAGCCCUUGUAAACCAAAACGUAACCUCCUGAAAAUCAAAAGCUGGUCCUUUUGACAUCUCCAAAGAGUCCACAGAUUUCCAACAGCCACAGGAGGGACCGAGAAAGCAGCCUCAACUCUUCCUCACCUUGCAACUCCAGUUGACAGUGAAGACAAAAUGUCAGUCUACAACACCUGCGUUACAAGCACACUGCUGUACGGCAGUGAAACAUGGACUACAUAUACCAGACAGGAGAGAAGAUGGAACACCUUCCACUUGAGGACUAUCUGCCAUAUCCUGGGCAUGUAUGUCCUGGCAAGACAGAGUGUCCAACGCAGCGGUCCUAUCUCACGCUGGCCUUCCCAGCAUGCACACUCUGCUCAGGCAGCGGAGACUGCACUGGCUGGGCCAUGUCCACUGCGUGGAGGACAGCCACAUCCCAAAGGAUAUCCUCUAUGGAGAACUCUCAUCUGGGGAAGAGACCCACUGGGCGUCCCCAGCUGCGUCUGUAUGAGGGACAUGAAGGUGCUUGAUAUCAUUACAGAGUCCUGGGAAAGGCUUGCAGCUGACUGUACGACUUGGAGAAGCACCCUGAACCAACACCCCAAAACAGGGGAAAAGAAGCUGAUGAGUGCUGCAGCAGACAAGAGGGCACCAAGGAAGGAGUGCAGCAGUUCCAGCAGAUCAACAACCACAUACAGAUGUGACCUUUGGGACUGGGACUGUCACUUCAGCACUGGUCUCUUCAGUCACAAGCGAUGUUGCUUCAGGGAAGCAGAAAGCCAGAACAAUGAGGAUGUAACCCAUGGUCAGCCUUGACCGAACGGGACCUCACUCCCUCACUCACUCCAGCAGCCACAGUACUUUGUUUUUUAAUUACUCUAAGAGCUAAACAAGCUCCAAUUUGUCCCUAUUACAUCAACAUGAAUUAAUGUUCAGGUUUAAAGGGCAUAUAGAGCACGUCACCCUUUCAUUUUGUGCUCCAAUGUACACCCUUAAUACAAAAAUCAGCUCUUUUGUUAUUCAGUCUAAAAUUAGAAACUGCCUUAUUUGCUCUGCCAUUUGGUGAUAUUUCUGUUCCGAUAAUAAAUGCACAUUCUUGUGAAAAACAACAACAUGAACCCAUUCUAAAAAUGCGAAGAGAAAUAUAUUGUAUCUUCUCACAG
Non-coding RNA from Chiloscyllium plagiosum (whitespotted bambooshark), 1281 nucleotides. NCBI's taxonomy places the organism in Eukaryota, Metazoa, Chordata, Chondrichthyes, Orectolobiformes, Hemiscylliidae. The record is from RefSeq and is a predicted model, not a curated record.